RNAcentral lists this transfer RNA (79 nucleotides) under Rhodoluna lacicola. RNAcentral's name for it is "tRNA-Arg". Lineage: Bacteria; Bacillati; Actinomycetota; Actinomycetes; Micrococcales; Microbacteriaceae. The record is from RNAcentral.
UUGCUAGUUGGAGUGGUUGCCGGCUCAAUCAGCGGCGGUCUGGUGGCCUGGCUAAAGGUGCCAUCUUUCCUAGUAACCC